This 1974-nucleotide long non-coding RNA is filed under the name Portunus trituberculatus (swimming crab). RNAcentral describes it as "uncharacterized LOC123512832". Lineage: Eukaryota; Metazoa; Arthropoda; Malacostraca; Decapoda; Portunidae. The record is from RNAcentral.
GACUCCACUGACGCUGCUGUCUCUUGUAUCAUGUGAUUAUGACGCAUUAUUUAUUUCUAUUAGCUGUUGAUUGAUCAAUGUCCCUCGAGAAAAAUGCCCUGCUAAUGGCUGAAAGAAAAAUGUCAACCAUGCAAAAAUGCCAUCUAGUGGAGACAGACUACCACCAGAGAAGUGAAACUCAGCUGAAAUGAAAGUAUCCAAGAUGGCGACCUUAAACCAUUAGUGAAUCGCUUUACGGGGAGUUCGUAUGGACUCUCAUCUUUUCUUCGUACGUCAUGCUAAAGUAGAGAGCGUUAGUGAAUCUCACCCCGAGAUGUUUACAUGGUGGAAACGCUGACUGUCCUGUCCACGUGGAUAAAAGGGUACUGUCCGCGAGUGAGGUCACUGCCCCAUGCCCUGUACUAAGUCCGUAUGGCAGACCACGGCAGGCUACCACAAAGACCGCUCCACAGCAAGCUACCACAGAGAAUACAGUAACAUCGUCAUCUUCAUAACGUACCGUGCAUAGUUCAUAGUUAACACCCAACGUACCCAACGUAUAUACGCAAAUGACUUGCUCACACACCACCCAAGACAAACGGCAAGGAUGGACACUAACCAGACGCUGGAUAUUGAGGAAGAGUCAAUGAUAAAGAGAUGUGUUGGAACUGUUAUUCCAAAGGGUUCCAUGGUGGUGGAUAAUGAUACAUGCAUUGUAUUCCUUAACAAAGGACACUGAAGCUUUUAAAUUCACACUCUUAACAUGUGGACAAACCAAUGAGCAUCUACACUAUAUGGAUCUGGACUCCUGAACAAAACCAUUCUCAAUUUGCUUCAUAUGCCAGGAGUUAGGUAGUCCACCCUUCCAUUCCUGCUUUGUUUCAUUGUUUUGAAAUGUAAUUCCUCGAAUCAAUGGAUGCAUAUUAAUGCAGUGACAUACUUCCCUAUAUUAUAUUGUGAAUAUUUAAAUAAAGAACGAUUGUCCUAAUUACUAAUAGAUUUUUAUUUCAAUUUUGCCACUGUCACAGAAAAAUAGGUUAUUUAGAUCAAGUCCAUUGGGAAACAAUUAUGUGUAUUCUCUCACUAACUCUCCACAGUGCAGAACAAUUAAUUAGCCAGUGAUAUUCUGUCACAACAAAAUAAGCUGAUGAACACAAGUACAAUCAGAAAUAUCAAAGCUGUAUUUACUUAAUACAUAAAUUAUGCUUUCUCCUGGAAGGUAAUGCUUGUGGAAGCCUCAACACAGAUCAGGUCAGUCAACAAAACAAUGGUCAUCCAAACACAACAUGCAAUCCUUUACUGAGGUAAGCCACUUGUGGGCUGAGGUCAAACUAGUCAUGAGUUGUGCCUCACAUGGAAAUUUUCUUCGUACCAACCCUCUCGCACAGCACAGAUAAUAAGACUGUCUGCAAGGUAUGACUGUUUACUAACAAACUGCUGGAGUUGUGGAACAGCUAAUGCAAGAAAUGAAAAGAAAAUGUCCUGACUCAAACAUAAGGAGUUGCAAUAAUCACUUGUCUAACUUGGAAGGUAAGUUUCAAAGAAAUGAGAUUAGUCUUUGCCCAGAGAGUGUGUACUCAACAGCAGAUCCAAGACUGCAAUGACACUGUGCUUCACAAACUUCCUUUCUGCUCGACAUAACAAGAAGGAACACAGAAGUGCAGAAAAAAACAGAGGUAGCAAGCAAAUCAGAACAAUUCAUCCAUUUACAAAUCAAUUCCUACAUCCAUAAAUCCAACCUCAAAAGUAACUAAUGCUCUAAGAUAUCGAUAAACUCUUCCUACCACAUAGUUAAAAAUAUUACAUAUAAAAUUGUUCCCGUAUUUUCAGACAAUAAAAAAAUCAACAUGAAUAUUAUGCAAACAAUACCUGUUGUAAGGUAAAAGGUCAAGUUGCAGAUUCAAUGCACUAACUGCACCAAUAGAGUAGCGUGUACAAGACGAGAUAUGAGACAAGAGUAGCUGGCAGAGAGAAAGAAAGACAGACAUGGCAUGA